Molecule: non-coding RNA, 54 nt
Organism: Salmo salar (Atlantic salmon)
Lineage: Eukaryota; Metazoa; Chordata; Actinopteri; Salmoniformes; Salmonidae
Source: Rfam
AAUGCACCAAUUUGUAAGUCGCUCUGGAUAAGAGCGUCUGCUAAAUGUCUUAAA